UACAGAGGUGGCAAGCGUUGUUCGGAAUUACUGGGCGUAAAGGGCGCGUAGGCGGCUCGGUCAGUCCCGUGUGAAAUCCCUCGGCUCAACUGAGGAACUGCACGGGAAACUGCCUGGCUUGAGUUCGGGAGAGGGAAGCGGAAUUCCGGGUGUAGCGGUGAAAUGCGUAGAUAUCGGGAGGAACACCAGUGGCGAAGGCGAGUCUCUGGGAUGAUACUGACGCUGAUGCUCGAAAGCUAGGGGAGCAAACGGG
Molecule: ribosomal RNA, 253 nt
Filed under: uncultured bacterium
Lineage: Bacteria
Description: partial 16S ribosomal RNA
Rfam family: Bacterial small subunit ribosomal RNA
Source: RNAcentral